This 66-nucleotide transfer RNA is filed under the name Stichopus horrens (warty sea cucumber). Its description in RNAcentral is "tRNA-Pro". Lineage: Eukaryota; Metazoa; Echinodermata; Holothuroidea; Aspidochirotida; Stichopodidae. RNAcentral also lists the same sequence under 1 other name. The record is from RNAcentral.
CAAAAGCUAGUUUAUUAAAAUAGCUACUUUGGGGGUAGCAGAUAUAGGAAUUUCCUAUGCUUUUGA